GAGUUUGAUCGUGGCUCAGGAUGAACGCCGGCGGUGUGCCUAAUACAUGCAAGUCGUACGCACUGGCCCAACUGAUUGAUGGUGCUUGCACCUGAUUGACGAUGGAUCACCAGUGAGUGGCGGACGGGUGAGUAACACGUAGGUAACCUGCCCCGGAGCGGGGGAUAACAUUUGGAAACAGAUGCUAAUACCGCAUAACAACAAAGGCCACAUGGCUUUUGUUUGAAAGAUGGCUUUGGCCAUCACUCUGGGAUGGACCUGCGGUGCAUUAGCUAGUUGGUAAGGUAACGGCUUACCAAGGCGAUGAUGCAUAGCCGAGUUGAGAGACUGAUCGGCCACAAUGGAACUGAGACACGGUCCAUACUCCUACGGGAGGCAGCAGUAGGGAAUCUUCACAAUGGGCGCAAGCCUGAUGGAGCAACACCGCGUGAGUGAAGAAGGUUUCGGCUCGUAAAGCUCUGUUGUUGGAGAAGAACGUGCGUGAGAGU
This 488-nucleotide ribosomal RNA is filed under the name uncultured microorganism. RNAcentral describes it as "bacterial SSU rRNA". It matches the Rfam family "Bacterial small subunit ribosomal RNA", at positions 9 to 462 of the family's 1533-position model. The record is from RNAcentral.